RNAcentral lists this ribosomal RNA (409 nucleotides) under Fusobacteriota bacterium. RNAcentral's name for it is "Fusobacteria bacterium partial 16S ribosomal RNA". It matches the Rfam family "Bacterial small subunit ribosomal RNA", at positions 355 to 776 of the family's 1533-position model. The record is from RNAcentral. Lineage: Bacteria; Fusobacteriati; Fusobacteriota.
UGGGGAAUAUUGCACAAUGGAGGGAACUCUGAUGCAGCAACGCCGCGUGCGGGAUGACGGCCUUCGGGUUGUAAACCGCUUUCAGCCAUGACGAAGCUUUUGUGACGGUAGUGGUAGAAGAAGCACCGGCUAACUACGUGCCAGCAGCCGCGGUGAUACGUAGGGUGCGAGCGUUGUCCGGAAUUAUUGUGCGUAAAGAGCUUGUAGGCGGUUUGUCGCGUCGAUAGUGUAAACACGCAGCUUAACUGUGUGCCUGCUGUCGAUACGGGCUGACUAGAGGAGGGUAGGGGAGAAUGGAAUUCCCGGUGGAGCGGUGGAAUGCGCAGAUAUCGGGAGGAACACCAGUGGCGAAGGCGGUUCUCUGGACCUUUCCUGACGCUGAGAAGCGAAAGCGUGGGUAGCAAACAGG